RNAcentral lists this ribosomal RNA (253 nucleotides) under uncultured bacterium. RNAcentral's name for it is "partial 16S ribosomal RNA". It matches the Rfam family "Bacterial small subunit ribosomal RNA", at positions 524 to 776 of the family's 1533-position model. The record is from RNAcentral.
UACGUAGGUGGCGAGCGUUAUUCGGAUUUACUGGGCGUAAAGGGUCCGUAGGGGGACUUUUAAGUCUGAUGUGAAAUGCCGCAGCUCAACUGCGGAACUGCAUUGGAAACUGAAAGUCUUGAAUCAGGUAGAGGUAAGUGGAAUUCGUGGUGUAGCGGUGGAAUGCGUAGAUAUCACGAGGAACUCCAAAGGCGAAGGCAGCUUACUGGGCCAUGAUUGACCCUGAGGGACGAAGGCCAGGGUAGCGAAAAGG